CUAGUUGGUGAGGUAAUGGCUCACCAAGGCGACGAUCAGUAGCUGGUCUGAGAGGAUGAUCAGCCACAUUGGGACUGAGACACGGCCCAAACUCCUACGGGAGGCAGCAGUGGGGAAUUUUGGACAAUGGGCGCAAGCCUGAUCCAGCCAUGCCGCGUGCGGGAAGAAGGCCUUCGGGUUGUAAACCGCUUUUGGCAGGAACGAAACGGCGCGAGCAAAUAUCUCGCGUUAAUGACGGUACCUGCAGAAUAAGCACCGGCUAACUACGUGCCAGCAGCCGCGGUAAUACGUAGGGUGCAAGCGUUAAUCGGAAUUACUGGGCGUAAAGCGUACGCAGGCGGCUUUGCAAGACAGGUGUGAAAUCCCCGGGCCUAACCUGGGAACUGCAUUUGUGACUGCAUGGCUAGAGUUUGUCAGAGGGGGGUGGAAUUCCACGUGUAGCAGUGAAAUGCGUAGAUAUGUGGAGGAACACCGAUGGCGAAGGCAGCCCCCUGGGAUGUGACUGACGCUCAUGUACGAAAGCGUGGGGAGCAAACAGGAUUAGAUACCCUGGUAGUCCACGCCCUAAACGAUGUCGACUAGUUAUCGGAGGGUAACUCCUUCGGUAACGCAGCUAACGCGUGAAGUCGACCGCCUGGGGAGUACGGUCGCAAGAUUAAAACUCAAAGGAAUUGACG
This 677-nucleotide ribosomal RNA is filed under the name uncultured beta proteobacterium. RNAcentral describes it as "SSU rRNA". It matches the Rfam family "Bacterial small subunit ribosomal RNA", at positions 245 to 915 of the family's 1533-position model. The record is from RNAcentral. Lineage: Bacteria; Pseudomonadati; Pseudomonadota; Betaproteobacteria.